RNAcentral lists this ribosomal RNA (440 nucleotides) under uncultured bacterium. Its description in RNAcentral is "partial 16S ribosomal RNA". It matches the Rfam family "Bacterial small subunit ribosomal RNA", at positions 338 to 795 of the family's 1533-position model. The record is from RNAcentral.
CCUACGGGUGGCUGCAGUGGGGGAUAUUGCACAAUGGGGGAAACCCUGAUGCAGCGACGCCGCGUGUGUGAAGACGGUCCUCUGGAUUGUAAACCACUGUCCCAAGGGACGAAGAUGACGGUACCUGGUGCGGAAGCUCCGGCUAACUACGUGCCAGCAGCCGCGGUAAUACGUAGGGAACGAGCGUUGUCCGGAAUUACUGGGUGUAAAGGGACCGUAGGCGGGGAUGCAAGUUGGGUGUAAAAACUACCGGCUCAACUGGUGGUAGCACUGGAAACUGUAGCUCUAGAGUGAAGGAGAGGCCGGCGGAAUUCCUAGUGUAGCGGUGAAAUGCGUAGAUAUUAGGAGGAACACCAGUGGCGAAGGCGGCCUGCUGGGCUUUUACUGACGCUGAGGCUCGAAAGUGUGGGGAGCAAACAGGAUUAGAUACCCCUGUAGUC